This 497-nucleotide ribosomal RNA is filed under the name uncultured bacterium. RNAcentral's name for it is "partial 16S ribosomal RNA". It matches the Rfam family "Bacterial small subunit ribosomal RNA", at positions 28 to 507 of the family's 1533-position model. The record is from RNAcentral.
GAUGAACGCUGGCGGCGUGCCUAAUACAUGCAAGUCGAGCGAACAGAUGAGGAGCUUGCUCCUCUGACGUUAGCGGCGGACGGGUGAGUAACACGUGGAUAACCUACCUAUAAGACUGGGAUAACUUCGGGAAACCGGAGCUAAUACCGGAUAAUAUAUUGAACCGCAUGGUUCAAUAGUGAAAGACGGUUUUGCUGUCACUUAUAGAUGGAUCCGCGCCGCAUUAGCUAGUUGGUAAGGUAACGGCUUACCAAGGCAACGAUGCGUAGCCGACCUGAGAGGGUGAUCGGCCACACUGGAACUGAGACACGGUCCAGACUCCUACGGGAGGCAGCAGUAGGGAAUCUUCCGCAAUGGGCGAAAGCCUGACGGAGCAACGCCGCGUGAGUGAUGAAGGUCUUCGGAUCGUAAAACUCUGUUAUUAGGGAAGAACAAAUGUGUAAGUAACUAUGCACGUGUUGACGGUACCUAAUCAGAAAGCCACGGCUAACUACGUG